UAGGGAAUCUUCGGCAAUGGACGAAAGUCUGACCGAGCAACGCCGCGUGAGUGAAGAAGGUUUUCGGAUCGUAAAACUCUGUUGGUAGAGAAGAACGUUGGUGAGAGUGGAAAGCUCAUCAAGUGACGGUAACUACCCAGAAAGGGACGGCUUAACUACGUGCCAC
This 166-nucleotide ribosomal RNA is filed under the name uncultured bacterium. RNAcentral describes it as "partial 16S rRNA". It matches the Rfam family "Bacterial small subunit ribosomal RNA", at positions 355 to 511 of the family's 1533-position model. The record is from RNAcentral.